CACACUGUAGAAUUUGGAUCAAUACUUUUAUUCAGUCAUAGGCUGCUGUUAUACUGAUGGGUGUAAGUUAAACCUCAUUUAUACCUGAGCUAAGGAAUGUCAGCACUGCUAGUAUGCUCCCUGUCGUGGACAGAGGGAUUCUUAUGCUAAUUCUCUGUUACCAGACAAGCUCACAAUUCACUGUGGAACCACAGACCAUCUUUAUGGAUGGAGCCCCCCAGUAACCCAUGGGUGGAAAAAAACUGCACAUUUCUGAAAGAAUCCUAACAUCCUGCUGUUGGAAUUUUCAUCUAUGUAAAUAACAAAACACUAAAAGCAUCUGUUUUAUUUCUGCUUGGAUUUUUAAUUGUCAGGAUGCCCUAGUAAAGUUUUCUUUUCGUUUUCUGAUAAUUUUUACAAUGAAGACUGGAAUGCACAUCUAAACCUUAAAAACAUGGACCAGGUUGACAAUCCUAAGAAGGGCAAUUUGACAGCUCACAAGCCUAAAAAAAAAAAAAAGUUUAUUUUUGUGUAUAUGAAUAUGUAAAUGCUAUUAAAAUUGUUGAGAGAUUGCACUGCAGUGCCCAGUACCUUUUUAGUUUUUCCUUGACAUUGCCUGGAGGAAACUGGCUGCUGAAAUUGCCUACUGAUGAGAGGCUUGACAACUGUGUUAUUACAGCAUAGUUGAAUAUAGCUAUCAGUAAAAACUUUCAAUAUUCUUGUAAAUAAACAUGCAAUAUGCAAGUGUGUUUAUAUCUGA
Molecule: long non-coding RNA, 739 nt
Filed under: Scleropages formosus (Asian bonytongue)
Lineage: Eukaryota; Metazoa; Chordata; Actinopteri; Osteoglossiformes; Osteoglossidae
Description: lncRNA (ENSSFOG00015029505.1)
Source: RNAcentral